This 253-nucleotide ribosomal RNA is filed under the name uncultured bacterium. RNAcentral describes it as "partial 16S ribosomal RNA". It matches the Rfam family "Bacterial small subunit ribosomal RNA", at positions 524 to 776 of the family's 1533-position model. The record is from RNAcentral.
AACGUAGGACGCGAGCGUUAUCCGGAGUUACUGGGCGUAAAGCGCGGGCAGGCGGUCUGACAAGUCUGAUGUGAAAUCACCCAGCUUAACUGGGCGAGGCCAUUGGAAACUGACAGGCUGGAGGGCAGUAGAGGUAGGCGGAAUUCCGGGUGGAGUGGUGAAAUGCGUAGAUAUCAAGAGGAACACCUGCGGCGAAGGCGGGUUGCUGGGCUGACACUGACGCUGAGGCGCGAAAGCUAGGGGAGCAAACGGG